UCUUUAUGCGAAAAUAUAGAUCUAUUAGACGGAGAGGUGGGAUUAAGGCGGAAUGCAGAACUCCAACAACAUAGACCAUCUCAUCUGGAAUAUAGAAUUGAGGUUGAAUAGCCUGAGAGCCAAGGAAAAGUAAAGAGGUUACGAAAGCCAAGCAAGCAAGAAGGAAGCUAAUCUUACCCUAUCGUCGCUUGAAACUAUCUAUGGUCAAUCAAGUCUGCUUCUCCGUAAGAAAGCUAGAAAGAGAAAUGAAAAGCAAGCAACCUCCGCGUGAGCAAUCCGGGGUUCGUUCCUAAGACUACGCUCACUGCUAUCUCUGUUCAAGUUCCGGCAUAGGAGAUCUAGUGGUAGGAGAGGGGACAGAGCUUUAGGUCUGCUGUUAACCUUUGGAGUUUAGUGCUGCGCCUGUUCCUAUGAGGGUAUUCAGUAGCUCGCUCCUUCCGCUUGUGCUCUUCCUAUGAUAACAGCUUUAUAGUAGUUAUUGGAUAGGCAAGAUCAUAGCCUUUUUCAAAUGUUUCCAAAACACAGUGACCCUAUGAAGAUAUAGAUGUAUAUUUAGAGUUAGUGUAUAUAGAUCCCUAUACUCUAUAAGUACUCAAAGACGCCCUUGUUUCUUUUUCAUAUCUCUUUCCAAUCUCCAAUAAACAUAUUUUGCAUAUCUCUUUCCAAUCUCCAAUAAACAAGGGGUAGAUCCAUUGGGCAUACACUAACACAUACAAAGCAAGCAAUACAUCUUGAAAAUAAUAAGUGAAUUCGACCGCGCUCUGACGUAAUUGAUUUCUCAUAAGGAUAUUGAAUAGUUACAGGUAAACGGUUUGUGUGGGAUAAGGGAAGGGGAGUAAUCAUCUUUCACCAAUGUACCUUGAUGCUCGUAUUGUUUGUUGACCAUAAUGAAUGAACCCAGUAACCAUGGGGAACAUAUUUUGGAUAUCCAUGAAUCAAUUGUAGUAUCUUUCUCGAAAGAGGUUAUGCAGAUAUAAUAUAGUGUGAGUAUGUAUGUUUUGAAAGAGGUUAUGAAGAUAUAAUAUAGUCAGAGUUUAUGAAGAUAGAAUAUAGUGUGAGUAUGUAUUGUAUGUAGAAUAGGGUAUAGUGAAAAAGUAGUAAGUCAUAUAUUAAGGGUAUAGUGAAAUAGUAGUAAGUCAUAUCUUACCCCAAUAAGUAGGUAACAGAAAUGUCCAUCCAAGAUUCAAUAGCGGGUCCAUUCUUAUCCUAGGUAAAGUAGUCCAUCUUUUUAUGAUGGAAUUAACCAGACACAAAUAAGCUGAAGAUCCUCACGAUUCUAAAAGUCAGGUAAGAAGCCUUAGAAAGAAAAGACUAUGAAGAAGCCAGAGACAUAAACCUAAUAUCCGGUAAGAAGCCUGAGAAAAGAAACCUCUCAUCUUAGAGACCUUUAUAUUCGGUUUGAUAACCUGCUACUAAUUCCUCCUCUGCUUCUGGUAAAUCAAAGGGCAAUCUCUCACAUUCAGCUAGAGAUGAAAGAAAACUAGAAAUACUAUGGGCUGACGCCACUGAUUCCCCAAAGCCAUAUUUGGACUGUGCUGAAACUAUAUAAACUGUUUGGACUGUGCUGAAACUAUAUAAACUUUACUUUGAACUGUGUGUUAGACUAGUCGAUAAUAACAUCCAUCACAGUUUCUCAUCGCCAAACCCAUCGCUAUUCCCGUAGAUGAGACCUCAGCUUCAUACAGCUCUUCUAUGGCAAAAAAUCAAUGGUUGGACUGGAAAGGUAUUAUCACUUUUGGUGUAGAUAGAAGUAAGAGAGUCCCAAAUUCCACCAAUGGCGCUAGAAUAAGAAUCCAGUGCUUCGGCCGCCCCCCCAACUAAUCAACUUGGAUUUGUAUUGGUUCGGUAAACAUAUCUCAAUUACCUUCCAUUUCUUUAAUAAGCAUAUCUCAAUUACCUGAAUUCCAUAUCUUUCAUAAGUGGAAUAACAAGCACAAAUGGGAAUUAGUUCCUGAAUCGUGAUCCGAAUGGAAUCUAUAUGGAUGGGGAAAAACAGAUCUUUGAUUAUGAAAAAGAUUAUGACAUUAUGCUCCUUUUCUUCUAUCUCAGAGGAGGGAGGUGACUUUUCAUAAAUAAAGAAAGGUGUAUUCUCUGGAUAGUCAUAUUUAUUUCAUCAGUGAAUAGUAGCAUACUCCCGAUCUCCAUCGUAGGGAGCUUGAUCAUGUCUACCAACUACAAGUCCCUAUUUGGAUUCGGCAGAAAUAUCUCUCAAUAUACCUUACCUUACAUUAUCUCUCCAUUACUCAUUCUUUGUGAACUUUGGUGUUCGUCCACUGAUUAUUGAUUGAUCUACGGCAGGCCUGGUAAUAAAUAAGAAGUCAGAAAUCCAAUACUGUUUCUCUUUUACACCCGCUUCAAGAUAUGAUUACUAAUGAAAUAAUCUCCAUGUUAGGGUCAACAGUUUACACAGCUUAUGUUUACUUCCACUUUCUUAUCUUCAUGUAUGUAUGUCAAUAGGAAAUGAUAUAAGAUCUUCUUACUUAGCACCAUUUCGAAGUUGUUUUUACUAACAAGGCACACGACUAUAUUAAUUGCAAAAAACGAGUACAAGCCCCUUCUAUCUUCGCAGAAUAAUGAAGCCAACUAAGCCAUACAACACAAAGGAUUUGUUGCUUCUA
Molecule: long non-coding RNA, 2618 nt
Filed under: Musa acuminata (dwarf banana)
Lineage: Eukaryota; Viridiplantae; Streptophyta; Magnoliopsida; Zingiberales; Musaceae
Description: long non-coding RNA (MACU_LNC007773)
Source: RNAcentral